This 254-nucleotide ribosomal RNA is filed under the name uncultured bacterium. Its description in RNAcentral is "partial 16S ribosomal RNA". It matches the Rfam family "Bacterial small subunit ribosomal RNA", at positions 524 to 776 of the family's 1533-position model. The record is from RNAcentral.
UACGGGGGGGGGCAAGCGUUGUUCGGAAUUACUGGGCGUAAAGGGCUCGUAGGUGGCCAACUAAGUCGGACGUGAAAUCCCUCAGCUUAACUGGGGAACUGCGUCUGAGGCUGGCAGGCUUGAGUGCAGGAGAGGAACGCGGAAUUCCAGGUGUAGCGGUGAAAUGCGUAGAUAUCUGGAGGAACACCGGUGGCGAAGGCGGCGUCCUGGACCAACACUGACACUGAUGAGCGAAAGCCAGGGGAGCAAACGGG